GGGGAUUUGGCUCAGUGGUAGAGCACUUGCCUAGCAAGCACAAGGCCCUGGGUUCGGUUCCCAGCUCCA
Non-coding RNA from Rattus norvegicus (Norway rat), 69 nucleotides. The record is from Rfam. NCBI's taxonomy places the organism in Eukaryota, Metazoa, Chordata, Mammalia, Rodentia, Muridae.